GCCAACACUGGCUUAGUUGGUUAGAGCGUAGUGCUGAUGACGCCAAGGCUGUAGGUUUGAUUCCCGUACGGGGCA
Non-coding RNA from Podarcis lilfordi (Lilford's wall lizard), 75 nucleotides. NCBI's taxonomy places the organism in Eukaryota, Metazoa, Chordata, Lepidosauria, Squamata, Lacertidae. The record is from the annotation of a GenBank genome assembly.